GUGAAUCAUCGAAUUUUUGAACGCAAAUUGCACUCUCUUCGGAGAGUAUGCCUGCUUGAGGGUCAGCCUAAAAAAAAUCGACGUAGUCGCUGUUUCGCGGUGACAUUCGUCGGAAAUUGGGUCAUCUUAAACCUUUUGGUUUUAAGCGGCUUAAAUUUUCUUUUACAAUCCCACGAAGGUUUUUAGAAUUUCUUUAACCUUUA
This 203-nucleotide unclassified non-coding RNA is filed under the name Glomus sp. RNAcentral describes it as "partial contains 5.8S ribosomal RNA and internal transcribed spacer 2". The stretch from base 1 to 65 matches the Rfam family "5.8S ribosomal RNA", at positions 84 to 154 of the family's 154-position model. Lineage: Eukaryota; Fungi; Glomeromycota; Glomeromycetes; Glomerales; Glomeraceae. The record is from RNAcentral.